UGGGGUGUAGCUCAUUGGUAGAUUGCUUGCCUAGUAUGUAUGAGGCCCUGGGUUCACUUCACAGCACCACUA
RNAcentral lists this transfer RNA (72 nucleotides) under Ictidomys tridecemlineatus (thirteen-lined ground squirrel). RNAcentral's name for it is "Spermophilus tridecemlineatus (thirteen-lined ground squirrel) tRNA". It matches the Rfam family "tRNA". Rfam says of the family: Transfer RNA (tRNA) molecules are approximately 80 nucleotides in length. Their secondary structure includes four short double-helical elements and three loops (D, anti-codon, and T loops). Further hydrogen bonds mediate the characteristic L-shaped molecular structure. tRNAs have two regions of fundamental functional importance: the anti-codon, which is responsible for specific mRNA codon recognition, and the 3' end, to which the tRNAs corresponding amino acid is attached (by aminoacyl-tRNA synthetases). tRNAs cope with the degeneracy of the genetic code in two manners: having more than one tRNA (with a specific anti-codon) for a particular amino acid; and 'wobble' base-pairing, i.e. permitting non-standard base-pairing at the 3rd anti-codon position. Lineage: Eukaryota; Metazoa; Chordata; Mammalia; Rodentia; Sciuridae. The record is from Rfam by way of RNAcentral.